UCCCUGGUGGUUCAGUGGUUCAGACUCCGUGCUCCCACUGCGGAUGGCUCGGGUUCGAUCCCUGAUCAGGGAA
This 73-nucleotide transfer RNA is filed under the name Bos taurus (domestic cattle). It matches the Rfam family "tRNA". From Rfam's summary of the family: Transfer RNA (tRNA) molecules are approximately 80 nucleotides in length. Their secondary structure includes four short double-helical elements and three loops (D, anti-codon, and T loops). Lineage: Eukaryota; Metazoa; Chordata; Mammalia; Artiodactyla; Bovidae. The record is from Rfam by way of RNAcentral. RNAcentral also lists the same sequence under 1 other name.